RNAcentral lists this ribosomal RNA (450 nucleotides) under uncultured organism. RNAcentral describes it as "partial 16S ribosomal RNA". It matches the Rfam family "Bacterial small subunit ribosomal RNA", at positions 331 to 797 of the family's 1533-position model. The record is from RNAcentral.
CGACACUCCUGCGGGAGGCAGCAGUGGGGAAUAUUGGACAAUGGGCGCAAGCCUGAUCCAGCCAUGCCGCGUGAGUGAUGAAGGCCCUAGGGUUGUAAAGCUCUUUCACCGGUGAAGAUAAUGACGGUAACCGGAGAAGAAGCCCCGGCUAACUUCGUGCCAGCAGCCGCGGUAAUACGAAGGGGGCUAGCGUUGUUCGGAUUUACUGGGCGUAAAGCGCACGUAGGCGGACUAUUAAGUCAGGGGUGAAAUCCCGGGGCUCAACCCCGGAACUGCCUUUGAUACUGGUAGUCUUGAGUUCGAGAGAGGUGAGUGGAAUUCCGAGUGUAGAGGUGAAAUUCGUAGAUAUUCGGAGGAACACCAGUGGCGAAGGCGGCUCACUGGCUCGAUACUGACGCUGAGGUGCGAAAGCGUGGGGAGCAAACAGGAUUAGAAACCCUUGUAGUCCCA